CAACGUUUCUAUUCUUAGCAGAGAGCUCCUCUCUUAUAAUUUAACUCACAAUUGAAAUCUACCCAUCUCCCACCAUUCCCCUCCUCUAAAGAUUUCCUUGUCCCCCCCUCUCAACAAAAUCCCUCCUCUUUUCUUUUCUGGGAUUCCUACAAAUUGUAGGAGAUCCCAUUUCCGGGUUUUUGAAGAGAGAAAAAGCUGCUCUUUUUUGUGUUCAUUGUUGGGUGGGUGAUCAUGCUCAUGAGGUGAUAUAUACUCUGUUUGAGCAAAUUUGUGGCAUUUUGGAGAAAAGAGAGGGAAAAGGGAGGGCUAAAUGGAGAACAAAAGAGCGCUUCUUUCUGCC
Molecule: long non-coding RNA, 340 nt
Filed under: Linum usitatissimum (flax)
Lineage: Eukaryota; Viridiplantae; Streptophyta; Magnoliopsida; Malpighiales; Linaceae
Description: long non-coding RNA (LUSI_LNC001279)
Source: RNAcentral